Molecule: long non-coding RNA, 504 nt
Organism: Nicrophorus vespilloides
Lineage: Eukaryota; Metazoa; Arthropoda; Insecta; Coleoptera; Silphidae
Exons: 3
Source: RefSeq, a predicted model, not a curated record
CAUUUAUUUUGAGUUGGUAUUAGCUCUUACCAUAUGUUAGAGAGAAGAAGAUUUUUUUAGUGAUUUUUAGAGCGAAUCGGUUGAACUCGAGAUGUUCGGAACCACUCGGAACUAUUUCAAAUGUUUACUUCCGUUUGUUUCUCGAUUACAAAACUUUUUCAAGUUAUCCGUGAUUAUGCGUAAGUUUGUUUUAUUUCGCCCAUUUUUGUUUCGCUAUUGUCAAGAACACAAGCAAAAUGGUUUAUAGUUGUUGCGUCCAAGGAUGUAAAACUAAAAGCGGCGAGAAUAUAAAGAUGAGAAAAUUUAUUAAUUUUCUUUAGACUCGAUGGAUCAUACACGAGUAAACGUGAAACAUCUAUGAGUAGAGAGUAUGUGGACAACAUUGGAGAGACUCGAUGGAUCAAAUACUCAUGUUUGAACCAUCUAUGAGAAUGAAGUAUAGGAUGUGGACCCUCUAUGAUGAUGGAGUAUGUGCACAAGGACCAUCUAUGAUGUAAUAUUCUU